UAUCUCUGUAGAGUCUGCAUAUCAAUAAGCGGAGGAAAAGAAACUAACUAGGAUUCCCUUAGUAACGGCGAGUGAAGCGGGAAGAGCUCAAAUUUGAAAUCUUCAAGGUUUUACCUUGACGAAUUGUAGUUUAAAGAAGUGUUUUCUGUUGGUGUUUUGGUAAAAGUUCUUUGGAAUAGGACAUCAUAGAGGGUGAGAAUCCCGUAUUUGACCAUUACUUCCAGCGUUGUGAUACACUUUCAAAGAGUCGGAUUGUUUGGGAAUGCAGUCCAGAAUGGGUGGUAAAUUUCAUCUAAAGCUAAAUAUUGGCGAGAGACCGAUAGCGAACAAGUACCGUGAGGGAAAGAUGAAAAGAACUUUGAAAAGAGAGUUAAACAGUACGUGAAAUUGUCAAAGGGAAGCGUUUGACACCAGUGUUGUUUUCUCGAAAAUCAAUUAAAAAAAGUUGGAUUUUGUAUUGUUAAGACCUUAUCAGCUUACUGUACUCUUUUCUUGCUUUUUUUAAUGCACUUUUCGUUUAACAAGUCAACAUCAAUUUCUUUUGUUGUAAAAGAGUCAUUGGAAGGUGGCUUUCACUUCGGUGAAAGUGUUUAUAGCCUUUGGCUUCUGCAAUCGGAGAGAUUGAGGUCUGCAGCGUAGAUCCUUCGGGGCUAGAUACGUAGAUGCUAAGUUAUAGUUUUUUAUAGACAACUUGUUGACUAUAAUUAAUCAUGUAGCUUACUCGUUUGCGCUAUUUUACCUACGCUUAGGAUGUUGAAGAUGUAGCACAUCAU
This 773-nucleotide ribosomal RNA is filed under the name uncultured Neocallimastigales. RNAcentral describes it as "partial large subunit ribosomal RNA". It matches the Rfam family "Eukaryotic large subunit ribosomal RNA", at positions 24 to 635 of the family's 3401-position model. Lineage: Eukaryota; Fungi; Neocallimastigomycota; Neocallimastigomycetes; Neocallimastigales. The record is from RNAcentral.